RNAcentral lists this ribosomal RNA (433 nucleotides) under uncultured bacterium. Its description in RNAcentral is "partial 16S ribosomal RNA". It matches the Rfam family "Bacterial small subunit ribosomal RNA", at positions 29 to 507 of the family's 1533-position model. The record is from RNAcentral.
AACGAACGCUGGCGGCAGGCCUAACACAUGCAAGUCGAGCGAGGACUUCGGUCCUAGCGGCGGUCGGGUGUGUCACGCGUGGGAACGUGCCCUUUGCCUCGGAAUAGUCCUGGGACACUGGGAGUAAUACCGGAUGAGCUCCUUGGGGGAAAGAUUGAUCGUCGAAGGAUCGGCCCGCGUUGGUUUAGGUAGGUGGUGGGGUAAUGGCCUACCACGGCGAGGCUACAUAGCUGGGUUGAGAGGCAGAGCAGCCACACUGGGACUGGGACACGGCCCAGACUCCUGCGGAAGGCAGCAGUGGGGAAUCUUGGACAAUGGGGUAAACGCUGAACGAGCCAGGCCGGGUGAGCGAUGAAGGCCUGAGAGUAGUAAAGCACUUUCAGCUGGGAAGAUAAUGACGGUACCAGCAGAAGAAGCCCCGGCUAACUCCGUG